UAUCUCUCUGUACAGGGAAGGAUGAGAAGCUUCGAUUAAGGUUCGACUCGAGCGGAAGCGAGAGAACGUUGCCAACGGCAACGGCCCGAAG
RNAcentral lists this small RNA (91 nucleotides) under Salmonella enterica. RNAcentral's name for it is "partial RtT sRNA". It matches the Rfam family "RtT RNA", at positions 1 to 89 of the family's 130-position model. From Rfam's summary of the family: This family represents a bacterial cis-regulatory element known as RtT RNA. Lineage: Bacteria; Pseudomonadati; Pseudomonadota; Gammaproteobacteria; Enterobacterales; Enterobacteriaceae. The record is from RNAcentral.